This 249-nucleotide ribosomal RNA is filed under the name uncultured Flavobacterium sp. RNAcentral describes it as "partial 16S ribosomal RNA". It matches the Rfam family "Bacterial small subunit ribosomal RNA", at positions 355 to 601 of the family's 1533-position model. The record is from RNAcentral. Lineage: Bacteria; Pseudomonadati; Bacteroidota; Flavobacteriia; Flavobacteriales; Flavobacteriaceae.
UGAGGAAUAUUGGUCAAUGGGCGCAAGCCUGAACCAGCCAUGCCGCGUGCAGGAUGACGGUCCUAUGGAUUGUAAACUGCUUUUAUACAGGAAGAAACACUCGGACGUGUCCGAGCUUGACGGUACUGUAGGAAUAAGGAUCGGCUAACUCCGUGCCAGCAGCCGCGGUAAUACGGAGGAUCCAAGCGUUAUCCGGAAUCAUUGGGUUUAAAGGGUCCGUAGGCGGCUUAAUAAGUCAGUGGUGAAAGC